GUCCUAGCCCUAAACGAUGCUCAUUAGAUGUGGGAGGUAUCGACCCCUUCCGCGUCGCAGCUAACGCAUUAAAUGAGCCGCCUGGGGAGUACGGCCGCAAGGUUGAAACUCAAAGGAAUUGACGGGGGCCCGCACAAGCGGUGGAACAUGUGGUUUAAUUCGACGCAACGCGAAGAACCUUACCUGGGCUUGAACUACUGGUAGUAAGUCCCGAGAAACCGGGGCUGAUCCGCAAGGAAGCCAGCAGAGGUGCUGCAUGGUUGUCGU
RNAcentral lists this ribosomal RNA (267 nucleotides) under uncultured bacterium. RNAcentral describes it as "partial 16S ribosomal RNA". It matches the Rfam family "Bacterial small subunit ribosomal RNA", at positions 793 to 1055 of the family's 1533-position model. The record is from RNAcentral.